CGAGCGUUGUCCGGAAUUAUUGGGCGUAAAGAGCUCGUAGGCGGCCUGUUGCGUCCGCUGUGAAAGCCCGGGGCUUAACCCCGGGUCGGCAGUGGAUACGGGCAGGCUAGAGGUAGGUAGGGGAGAAUGGAAUUCCCGGUGUAGCGGUGAAAUGCGCAGAUAUCGGGAGGAACACCGGUGGCGAAGGCGGUUCUCUGGACCGUAACUGACGCUGAGGCGCGAAAGCGUGGGGAGCAAACAGG
This 242-nucleotide ribosomal RNA is filed under the name uncultured bacterium. RNAcentral's name for it is "partial 16S ribosomal RNA". It matches the Rfam family "Bacterial small subunit ribosomal RNA", at positions 535 to 776 of the family's 1533-position model. The record is from RNAcentral.